UGGGGAAUAUUGCACAAUGGGCGAAAGCCUGAUGCAGCAACGCCGCGUGAGUGAUGAAGGCCUUCGGGUUGUAAAGCUCUGUCUUUUGGGACGAUAAUGACGGUACCAAAGGAGGAAGCCACGGCUAACUACGUGCCAGCAGCCGCGGUAAUACGUAGGUGGCAAGCGUUGUCCGGAUUUACUGGGCGUAAAGGAUGCGUAGGCGGAUUUUUAAGUGAGAUGUGAAAACCCUAAGCUUAACUUGGGGACUGCAUUUCAUACUGGAAAUCUAGAGUGCGGGAGAGGAGAAUGGAAUUCCUAGUGUAGCGGUGAAAUGCGUAGAGAUUAGGAAGAACACCAGUGGCGAAGGCGAUUCUCUGGACCGUAACUGACGCUGAGGCAUGAAAGCGUGGGUAGCAAACAGGAUUAGAUACCCUGGUAGUCCACGCCGUAAACGAUGAGUACUAGGUGUAGGAGGUAUCGACCCCCUUCUGUGCCGCAGUUAACACAAUAAGUACUCCGCCUGGGAAGUACGAUCGCAAGAUUAAAACUUAAAGGAAUUGACGGGGGUCAUAGCUG
RNAcentral lists this ribosomal RNA (558 nucleotides) under uncultured bacterium. RNAcentral's name for it is "partial 16S ribosomal RNA". It matches the Rfam family "Bacterial small subunit ribosomal RNA", at positions 355 to 928 of the family's 1533-position model. The record is from RNAcentral.